AGUCAAGCCAACCAGGCUCCCUCAGCUAAUCUUCCCGUCAAGGCUGUUGUAGUUUCAUCAUAGCCAGUGAAACUCUGAAUUUGGACCUUAGAAGCCCAGUGUGGAGAUGCCAUCCCAAUUCUCCAAAUAGUUAUUAAGUUCAGUAUUUCUCACGUGAGCUGCUAUAGACUUAGAGGAAAUACAGAUUCAGAGUCCAUAUUCAAAUCUCACCCAAUGUGAAGAGGACUAGGCAGAAUUCUAUGUGAUGUCUGUGUGUCCAUUGUCCUUGGCCUUCCUGUUUUCUGUGAUUAUGAGAGUUUUUGUGCAUUUUCACCUUUGUGACUAGCAUCCAUUCUGAUCUCUUUUUAAUCUUCAAAGAGCUCAUCUUAUGGUUGGUUAGGAUCAAGUAUUCAGAAAUCAUCUGCUCCAGACGGAAUAUUUUCUUGGAGAUUCUACCCACAUGAUGACUGGUG
Molecule: long non-coding RNA, 452 nt
Organism: Ochotona princeps (American pika)
Lineage: Eukaryota; Metazoa; Chordata; Mammalia; Lagomorpha; Ochotonidae
Exons: 3
Source: RefSeq, a predicted model, not a curated record